GACGAACGCUGGCGGCGUGCUUAACACAUGCCAGUCGAACGGAAAGGCCCUGCUUUUGUGGGGUGCUCGAGUGGCGAACGGGUGAGUAACACGUGAGUAACCUGCCCUUGACUUUGGGAUAACUUCAGGAAACUGGGGCUAAUACCGGAUAGGAGCUCCUGCUGCAUGGUGGGGGUUGGAAAGUUUCGGCGGUUGGGGAUGGACUCGCGGCUUAUCAGCUUGUUGGUGGGGUAGUGGCUUACCAAGGCUUUGACGGGUAGCCGGCCUGAGAGGGUGACCGGCCACAUUGGGACUGGGGUACGGCCCAGACUCCUACGGGAGGCAGGAGUGGGGAAUAUUGCAAAAUGGGCGGAAGCCUGAUGCAGCAACGCCGGGGGGGGGAUGACGGCCUUCGGGUUGUAAACCGCUUUCGCCUGUGACGAAGCGUGAGUGACGGUAAUGGGUAAAGAAGCACCGGCUAACUACGU
RNAcentral lists this ribosomal RNA (467 nucleotides) under uncultured bacterium. RNAcentral describes it as "partial 16S ribosomal RNA". It matches the Rfam family "Bacterial small subunit ribosomal RNA", at positions 28 to 506 of the family's 1533-position model. The record is from RNAcentral.